Molecule: unclassified non-coding RNA, 295 nt
Filed under: Hevea brasiliensis (rubber tree)
Lineage: Eukaryota; Viridiplantae; Streptophyta; Magnoliopsida; Malpighiales; Euphorbiaceae
Source: RNAcentral
CUUGAGCUACAAAACUCUAAAUGGAGUGAUUCAAAAAGAAAAUUAAAGAAGACACAUAAAUGAACAACUUUGAUUAGGAACAUGUGGCAAAAUUCUCACUAUAGAAUUGCCUAAUAGAACAGUGAACUUUAACACCCAAAACUGAAAUUUUUGAUUUAUUUCCUAUUGGUUUUAAGUAUUGAUUGACAACCAAGGCCAACACUUUUGUGAAUCAAAAUGUGGUAAUUUCAUGUGAUUAAAACUCAUGUAACUAUCAUAUAUGAGAAAGUUAAUAUUUUGACUUAAAUGACCAAAU